UCUUUUUCUAUAUUGUGAGUUUGAAAAUACAACUCCCAAGGACAUCUGUUUGCACACAAAACAGAAGUAUUAAUGCAUCCCAGCCUUUGUUUGUAAUUCAGGAGGAGGAAACCUUCCACUUAACCAACACGCUAACAGACCAUUCUUCAAGACAUACUGACUACUAAAAUUAUUGUUAAUUGAAUGGUUGAAAAUUGAUAUUUUCAAAGACCGAGACCACAGUGCACAUCUAUUGAAAACAUGAACACGGACGUUAUGAGAGAAUUUACAGAUCCUUGAGAAAUUGACAAACUCCGGGAAAGAAGAGUUUAGCGGGAAAAGUCAAACAGUUUGCCUUUGGGAGACUAAAGUCCAAGUCCAACUGUGUCACUAACUGACUCUGGAAGGUUGGGCA
Molecule: long non-coding RNA, 394 nt
Organism: Orcinus orca (killer whale)
Lineage: Eukaryota; Metazoa; Chordata; Mammalia; Artiodactyla; Delphinidae
Exons: 3
Source: RefSeq, a predicted model, not a curated record